UACCCGGUCCGGGUUGUAUGUGUUGAGAGGGAACCUCUGGUAAGUAGAUUUGUACUGUCACGUUCUGAUUUUCUAGUAUCUCGUACAUCCGGCAGCCUAGAGUCCGGUCUAGCGGUACCUGGCAGACUAUAAAUGGGCUAGCAGGACCCGGCAGCCUAUUUUAAGGUUACCGUUGUCUUACAUUUAUGGUACGGGGGUGGUCCUGUAAGGCUAGUAAAGCGCAGCACCCCAUAUUUUCCCCCCGCGAGGACACCACUUCUGGAUCGGCGGAGGAGGAGAGAGGGAGGGAGGGCGCGGGCGGAGAGAGAGAGGGAGGGCGCGGGGAAGGACGGGGCGGCAGCGGCAGCGGCGAGGGGCGUGAGCGAGGAGGAGGGGGGCGUAGAGGGAGGGAGGGUGCGUCGGCGGAGAGAGGGAGCCCGUGUGACCCCGUCCCCCAGAGAGGCCCCUGCUGUCCCGACGGCCGGCCUCAACCUAGCUCUAGGGCCGGGCGUAGCGCGGAACUGUUUCGUCGUCCGGUUCCGCCGCGACGGGAAGAGGCGGGACACGCACGCCUAUAGGUCGUUGAUGAUGGGGUUGGAGCCGCGGGAGGCGUUGCGGAGGGUGCAGUCGGAGUGGCUGCGGCGUAUGCAGCUCUAGAGGCUCCCGCUGAAGACUAUGCAGGAACUGCUGCACGCGGUGGAGCGGGGGCUGCAGGGCUAUUUACUACUACAUCAUUACCUACGGAAGACUUGCGAUGUACACACCAAGGACUUAACCUGGUAUAUAAAGGCGCUUCUAGAAGUUCCACUUACGAAGAAAACAGUACAAGCGAGCCAGUAGCUUGUUUGGGAUCGGACAAAGCUGACUAAAGGAAGAUACGAGC
RNAcentral lists this ribosomal RNA (862 nucleotides) under Triticum aestivum (bread wheat). Its description in RNAcentral is "partial small subunit ribosomal RNA". Lineage: Eukaryota; Viridiplantae; Streptophyta; Magnoliopsida; Poales; Poaceae. The record is from RNAcentral.